Molecule: ribosomal RNA, 467 nt
Filed under: uncultured bacterium
Lineage: Bacteria
Description: partial 16S ribosomal RNA
Rfam family: Bacterial small subunit ribosomal RNA
Source: RNAcentral
GACGAACGCUGGCGGCAUGCUUAACACAUGCAAGUCGAACGGAAAGGCCCUGCUUUUGUGCGCUGCUGUAGUGGCGAAGGGGUGAGUAACACGUGAGUAACCUGCCCUUCACUGUGGGAUAACUUCAGAAAACUUGGUCUAAUACCGGAUAGGAUCUCCCGCUGUAUGGUGGGCGUUGGAAAGUUUCGGCGGUUGGUGUUGGACUGGCGGCUUAUGAGCUUGUUGGUGGGGUAGUGGCUUACCAUGGCCUUGACCGGUAGCCGGCCGGGGAGGGUGAACGGCCACACAGGGACGGAGUUAGGGCCCAGCCAGAUACGGGAGGCAGGAGUGGGGAGUGUUGAACAGUGGACGGAAGCCUGAUGGAGCAACGCCGCGUGCGGGAUGGCGGCAUUCGGGUUGGAAGCCGCUUUCGCCUGUGACGAAGCGUGAGUAACGGUAAUGGAGAAUGAAGCACCGCCUAACUACUU